GAUGAACGCUGGCGGCGUGCCUAAUACAUGCAAGUCGAGCGAACAGACGAGGAGCUUGCUCCUCUGACGUUAGCGGCGGACGGGUGAGUAACACGUGGAUAACCUACCUAUAAGACUGGGAUAACUUCGGGAAACCGGAGCUAAUACCGGAUAAUAUAUUGAACCGCAUGGUUCAAUAGUGAAAGACGGUUUUGCUGUCACUUAUAGAUGGAACCGCGCCGCAUUAGCUAGUUGGUAAGGUAACGGCUUACCAAGGCAACGAUGCGUAGCCGACCUGAGAGGGUGAUCGGCCACACUGGAACUGAGACACGGUCCAGACUCCUACGGGAGGCAGCAGUAGGGAAUCUUCCGCAAUGGGCGAAAGCCUGACGGAGCAACGCCGCGUGAGUGAUGAAGGUCUUCGGAUCGUAAAACUCUGUUAUUAGGGGAGAACAAAUGUGUAAGUAACUAUGCACGUCUUGACGGUACCUAAUCAGAAAGCCACGGCUAACUACGUG
RNAcentral lists this ribosomal RNA (497 nucleotides) under uncultured bacterium. RNAcentral describes it as "partial 16S ribosomal RNA". It matches the Rfam family "Bacterial small subunit ribosomal RNA", at positions 28 to 507 of the family's 1533-position model. The record is from RNAcentral.